RNAcentral lists this ribosomal RNA (1037 nucleotides) under Trichoderma sp. 3 PC-2011. RNAcentral's name for it is "SSU rRNA". It matches the Rfam family "Eukaryotic small subunit ribosomal RNA", at positions 66 to 1113 of the family's 1831-position model. The record is from RNAcentral. Lineage: Eukaryota; Fungi; Ascomycota; Sordariomycetes; Hypocreales; Hypocreaceae.
CUAGUUAGCAUUAUCCGCGAAACUGCGAAUGGCUCAUUAUAUAAGUUAUCGUUUAUUUGAUAAUACUUUACUACUUGGAUAACCGUGGUAAUUCUAGAGCUAAUACAUGCUGAAAAUCCCGACUUCGGAAGGGAUGUAUUUAUUAGAUUAAAAACCAAUGCCCCUCGGGGCUCUCUGGUGAAUCAUGAUAACUAGUCGAAUCGACAGGCCUUGUGCCGGCGAUGGCUCAUUCAAAUUUCUUCCCUAUCAACUUUCGAUGUUUGGGUAUUGGCCAAACAUGGUGGCAACGGGUAACGGAGGGUUAGGGCUCGACCCCGGAGAAGGAGCCUGAGAAACGGCUACUACAUCCAAGGAAGGCAGCAGGCGCGCAAAUUACCCAAUCCCGACACGGGGAGGUAGUGACAAUAAAUACUGAUACAGGGCUCUUUUGGGUCUUGUAAUCGGAAUGAGUACAAUUUAAAUCCCUUAACGAGGAACAAUUGGAGGGCAAGUCUGGUGCCAGCAGCCGCGGUAAUUCCAGCUCCAAUAGCGUAUAUUAAAGUUGUUGUGGUUAAAAAGCUCGUAGUUGAACCUUGGGCCUGGCUGGCCGGUCCGCCUCACCGCGUGCACUGGUCCGGCCGGGCCUUUCCCUCUGCGGAACCCCAUGCCCUUCACUGGGUGUGGCGGGGAAACAGGACUUUUACUUUGAAAAAAUUAGAGUGCUCAAGGCAGGCCUAUGCUCGAAUACAUUAGCAUGGAAUAAUAGAAUAGGACGUGUGGUUCUAUUUUGUUGGUUUCUAGGACCGCCGUAAUGAUUAAUAGGGACAGUCGGGGGCAUCAGUAUUCAAUUGUCAGAGGUGAAAUUCUUGGAUUUAUUGAAGACUAACUACUGCGAAAGCAUUUGCCAAGGAUGUUUUCAUUAAUCAGGAACGAAAGUUAGGGGAUCGAAGACGAUCAGAUACCGUCGUAGUCUUAACCAUAAACUAUGCCGACUAGGGAUCGGACGAUGUUACAUUUUUGACGCGUUCGGCACCUUACGAGAAAUCAAAGUGCUGGUC